Molecule: unclassified non-coding RNA, 230 nt
Filed under: uncultured Cortinarius
Lineage: Eukaryota; Fungi; Basidiomycota; Agaricomycetes; Agaricales; Cortinariaceae
Description: sequence contains ITS1
Source: RNAcentral
UUGAAAUACACCUGAUAAGUUGUUGCUGGCUCUCUAGGGAGCAUGUGCACACUUUUCGUCUUUGUAUCUUCACCUGUGCACCCUUUGUAGACCUGAAUACCUCUCUGAAUGCUCGGGAUUGAGGAUUGACUUGCUGUCUCUUCUUAUAUUUUCAGGUCUAUGUUUCUUCAUAUACCCUAAUGUAUGUGGAUAGAAUGUGAUUACUAGGCAUUUGUGUCUAUAAAUCUAUA